GCCGGAUUAGCUCAGUCGGCAGAGCAACCGCCUUGUAAGCGGUAGGUCAUCCGUUCGAAUCGGAUAUCCGGCACCA
This 76-nucleotide transfer RNA is filed under the name Betaproteobacteria bacterium. RNAcentral describes it as "tRNA-Thr". It matches the Rfam family "tRNA". From Rfam's summary of the family: Transfer RNA (tRNA) molecules are approximately 80 nucleotides in length. Their secondary structure includes four short double-helical elements and three loops (D, anti-codon, and T loops). Further hydrogen bonds mediate the characteristic L-shaped molecular structure. tRNAs have two regions of fundamental functional importance: the anti-codon, which is responsible for specific mRNA codon recognition, and the 3' end, to which the tRNAs corresponding amino acid is attached (by aminoacyl-tRNA synthetases). tRNAs cope with the degeneracy of the genetic code in two manners: having more than one tRNA (with a specific anti-codon) for a particular amino acid; and 'wobble' base-pairing, i.e. permitting non-standard base-pairing at the 3rd anti-codon position. The record is from RNAcentral. Lineage: Bacteria; Pseudomonadati; Pseudomonadota; Betaproteobacteria.